RNAcentral lists this long non-coding RNA (1048 nucleotides) under Sparus aurata (gilthead seabream). Its description in RNAcentral is "lncRNA (ENSSAUG00010002239.1)". The record is from RNAcentral. Lineage: Eukaryota; Metazoa; Chordata; Actinopteri; Spariformes; Sparidae.
AGGAAUUUCUAGACUGAAUCGAGUGGACCGUCUGCGUGGUUGUUGAAAGUUGACUGAGUUUAGCAAAAAAAUGAAUCAAGGCAUCAAGAGAAAGAGAGAAAUCUCAGAGAUCACUGUGGGCUGACGGUGAAGAAUGCUGCAAACUGACUGAUUUGCUUUUAAAAUCAAGUGCAGCGUCAGUUAGCACUAGCGCUAAUACUGCUAGCAUUGAUGAGCCAGCACAGCAGGGAGAAAGACAGGACAGUGAGGAAUAUGAGCAAGAGGAGGAUGAGGAGGUAGACAUGGAUAACUGCGUGACGGAAACCUCCACACAGGCACUAUCUGCUUUGCCCAGUGUGUCUUAAAACACAAGAAAGUCUGUCAUGCCAUCUGCUCAGAGUCUGCAAGAAAACCUCCAGCCGAGCAGAUAUUGAAGCCCUGGUUGAAAAGGCCAAGAAAGAUGUUUUGGACCUGCUUCAGAAUGGCAGGGCCUUUAGUUAUGCAGUCCUUACACAAAUUAUGGCUGAUACGAAUCCACUCAAGAGGUUGGUGGCUUUUUGUUUACUCUUUACUCUGUCUUAUUCCCUUAUGUGUAGAUAUUCUAAAAUGUCUUGUUUUCCUCAUUGAAAGCUUGAUUGAGGAGUUAAACCGUCACCACUUGAUCGUCACCGGAUCCCCGCCCCCUCUGCCCACUGAAGCUGGCCCAUCCACCACACAGCCACCAGAGACUGGAGACCAGGGAGAGCCGUCGGGAGAGUGUGAGCCGUCUGACGCUGCAUCUGUCAGCAGUGGCGAGUUAUUUCAAUGUGACCAAGAUGUAAAUUACUCCAACAAGGUCAGGCAGAAAAUGUCAGAGAAGGGCCUGUAUAACAAGCACGACGUGAGCGAUCCACUGCUGAAUGACUUUGCCAAAUACUUGCAGACAGAGCUCCUCAAAGUUUCAAACAGGAGGUUGAAAAUGUUGCACAGUACCUCCAUUAUGCAGACUCAAAGGCACCAUCCCUUCAGUUUGUCAAUGACAGAGAGAAGCUCCAAGAGUACCUGCAUGCCCUCUCUGAGGCAAAAUUGA